CGACUAAGCGUACACGGUGGAUGCCCUGGCAGUCAGAGGCGAUGAAGGACGUGCUAAUCUGCGAAAAGCGUCGGUAAGGUGAUAUGAACCGUUAUAGCCGGCGAUGUCCGAAUGGGGAAACCCAGUGUGAUUCGUCACACUAUCGUUAACUGAAUACAUAGGUUAACGAGGCGAACCGGGGGAACUGAAACAUCUAAGUACCCCGAGGAAAAGAAAUCAACC
This 222-nucleotide ribosomal RNA is filed under the name Klebsiella pneumoniae. Its description in RNAcentral is "partial 23S ribosomal RNA". It matches the Rfam family "Bacterial large subunit ribosomal RNA", at positions 1 to 230 of the family's 2925-position model. RNAcentral also lists the same sequence under 1 other name. The record is from RNAcentral. Lineage: Bacteria; Pseudomonadati; Pseudomonadota; Gammaproteobacteria; Enterobacterales; Enterobacteriaceae.